Oncorhynchus tshawytscha (Chinook salmon) is the source of this 542-nucleotide long non-coding RNA. NCBI's taxonomy places the organism in Eukaryota, Metazoa, Chordata, Actinopteri, Salmoniformes, Salmonidae. The record is from Ensembl.
CUAGUGGAGAGGUUGAGCGAGGGAGAGAGGGCUAGUGGAGAGGUUGAGUGAGGGAGAGAGAGGGCUAGUGGAGAGGUUGAGCGUGGGAGAGAGGGCUAGUGGAGAGGUUGAGCGAGGGAGAGAGAGAGGGCUAGUGGAGAGGUUGAGCGAGGGAGAGAGAGAGGGCUAGUGGAGAGGUUGAGAGAGGGCAAGUGGAGAGGUUGAGAGAGGGCUAGUGGAGAGGUUGAGCGAGGGAAAGGGAGAGGGCUAGUGGAGAGGUUGAGCGAGGGAAAGGGAGAGGGCUAGUGGAGAGGUUGAGCGAGGGGAAAGGGGAGAGGGCUAGUGGAGAGGUUGAGCGAGGGAAAGGGAGAGGGCUAUUGGAGAGGUUGAGCGAAGGAGAGAGAGGGCUAGUGGAGAGGUUGAGCGUGGGAGAGAGGGGGCUAUUGGAGAGGUUGAGCGUGGGGAGAGGGGGCUAGUGGAGAGGUUGAGCGUGGGAGAGAGGGCUAGUGGAGAGGUUGAACGACGGAGAGAGGGCUAGUGGAGAGGUUGAGCGAGAGAGAGGG